This is a long non-coding RNA of Salvia miltiorrhiza (redroot sage), 130 nucleotides long. RefSeq lists it as uncharacterized. The transcript is spliced from 2 exons. Lineage: Eukaryota; Viridiplantae; Streptophyta; Magnoliopsida; Lamiales; Lamiaceae. The record is from RefSeq and is a predicted model, not a curated record.
GGCUGCGGGAGCGGCGGAGAUAGCGGUGGGGGGUGGAGCCGCCGAUUGAAGAAAGAAAGAGGCGGCGAUGCAGAUCGGAGGGCUUGCGGGGGAAGGGAGGUGGCCGGCGCGGUGAAGGCGGCGGUGGCGA